UACGUAGGCAGCAAGCGUUGUUCGGAGUUACUGGGCGUAAAGAGUGCGUAGGUGGUGCCCUAAGUCUGUUGUGAAAUCUCCCGGCUUAACUGGGAGGGUGCGGUGGAAACUGGGUGCUUGAGUGUGGGAGAGGUAAGCGGAAUUCCUGGUGUAGCGGUGAAAUGCGUAGAGAUGUGGAGGAACACCAGUGGCGAAGGCGACUCUUUGGCCUGUAACUGACGCUGAGGCGCGAAAGCGUGGGGAGCAAACAGG
RNAcentral lists this ribosomal RNA (252 nucleotides) under uncultured bacterium. RNAcentral describes it as "partial 16S ribosomal RNA". It matches the Rfam family "Bacterial small subunit ribosomal RNA", at positions 524 to 776 of the family's 1533-position model. The record is from RNAcentral.